CAGCUAGUUGGUAAGGUAAUGGCUUACCAAGGCGACGAUCAGUAGCUGGUCUGAGAGGAUGACCAGCCACAUUGGGACUGAGACACGGCCCAAACUCCUACGGGAGGCAGCAGUGGGGAAUCUUGCGCAAUGGGCGAAAGCCUGGCGCAGCCAUGCCGCGUGAAUGAUGAAGGUCUUAGGAUUGUAAAAUUCUUUCACCGGGGACGAUAAUGACGGUACCCGGAGAAGAAGCCCCGGCUAACUUCGUGCCAGCAGCCGCGGUAAUACGAAGGGGGCUAGCGUUGCUCGGAAUUACUGGGCGUAAAGGGCGCGUAGGCGGACAUUUAAGUCAGGGGUGAAAUCCCAGAGCUCAACUCUGGAACUGCCUUUGAUACUGGGUGUCUUGAGUGUGAGAGAGGUAUGUGGAACUCCGAGUGUAGAGGUGAAAUUCGUAGAUAUUCGGAAGAACACCAGUGGCGAAGGCGACAUACUGGCUCAUUACUGACGCUGAGGCGCGAAAGCGUGGGGAGCAAACAGGAUUAGAUACCCUGGUAGUCCACGCCGUAAACGAUGAUUGCUAGUUGUCGGGCUGCAUGCAGUUCGGUGACGCAGCUAACGCAUUAAGCAAUCCGCCUGGGGAGUACGGUCGCAAGAUUAAAACUCAAAGGAAUUGACGGA
RNAcentral lists this ribosomal RNA (657 nucleotides) under uncultured Alphaproteobacteria bacterium. Its description in RNAcentral is "SSU rRNA". It matches the Rfam family "Bacterial small subunit ribosomal RNA", at positions 242 to 917 of the family's 1533-position model. The record is from RNAcentral. Lineage: Bacteria; Pseudomonadati; Pseudomonadota; Alphaproteobacteria.